AUAACAUUAUUGAAGUUAUUUUUACAUAUUUGUCCACUGGAAAGAGGUCCCAUUGUAAAGUGAACCUGUGUUGGAUGUAACAUCGUUCUUUUGUGUGUGUUGGAAAAUUAUGGUAUUUCUCUUCUUAAUACUCCAUGGAUAUUUUAACUGUCAACAAAAGACCUCCAGCAUGAUUUGUCAGACUUAUGUCUCCACAUUUUUUUUUCUUUCAGAUAUUAUUCAGAUAUUUCAGAUACGUCGAUUUCAGGUCUUGUCAGACAGAAGAGGGUUGAAACAUUACCAUAGCUGAUGCAGGAUGUUGUGAGGAGAGAAAGGGAUAGACCCUAGCUCAUUUUCAGGAAAGUAGCUGGCCAGAGUGUCCAGAAUCACUGAGGGAUGUGUGAAGGCAGCAAACAAGAAACAAAAGGCAGAACUCUCAGGUGAUUCAAGGAGGAGAAAUGAUGUGGGCAGACGGUUAUUAUAUUUAGAAUUGUCUGGACAUCAGAAAACCCGAUUGUCAGUUUAAAAAAUGGCUGGGAUUGUUGAUGCCCUGGAAUGUCCCUGUGGAAGGAAUCAGAGGCUCUGUCUGCACCUCAUGCAUUCAUGCAGUGCAGCACUUUGCUUUCCUGCUCCAUCAUGUUCCUGAGAGGGUAUCCGAGCUCUGCAGUUCCCUCCCUGCCUCCUCCUCUCAAGCACAUGCUAUAAGGUGCCAGACACAUCCCACACCAUACAUCAGUCUGCGGUGCUCUCUCAUGCACAGGAGAAAAUGAUAGUUAAGGAGUGUAUGAAGGUGUGAAUCCUUAUUAAAAGCAAAGUAUGGCUUACUUUGCAGAAGGGACAAAGAUGUUAGAGAAAAUUACUUUAAAAUGUUAUAGAAAUUUAUUUGUGUAACUAAAGCCCUACAAUUUUUUGAUGGUCAUCUGUGAAGCUUCCAUAUUAUCCAAAUAAAAGUGCUGACUAUGCCUCA
Long non-coding RNA from Anser cygnoides (Swan goose), 946 nucleotides. The record is from Ensembl. Lineage: Eukaryota; Metazoa; Chordata; Aves; Anseriformes; Anatidae.